CCGGCCUCUUCUGCUGUUUCCGUCUUCCUACGCCUCUGCUACUUCUGCUAGUGGUGGUGCAGCUCCCGAACUUUGUCCAGACGGCCACAAUCUUCUUCUUCUUCGUCCAGGCGACCCCGGCUGUGCUGCUGUUGAAGUUGUUGCUCCAACCGGAUCUUCUUGGAUAGUAUUCUGAAGCUGCAAAGCCAAAUCUCUAAGAAGUACUUCUGGCUUAAAAGGACGCAAUGCAGUGGCCCAAGCACGCUUCCAGCCACCAAGUUCUUGGCUCCGGUAGAUGCUUCGAACAAGAGAGAGGAAUUCAUCAGCAAGUGCCAGUGCCAGUGUCCUACUGCGAUCAUACUUCUUUCUAGCAGGAAAUUGGCUCGGCGGAACAUGAUGCUCGCUUAACCUAAACAAAAAAGAACAGAUCUAUGAAAAUUUAUGUACUUUUGCUCAGAGUUAAAUGUUGAGGAUUUUCAGGUGCACACUUUUUGUGAGAGUAGUAUGCCCAACAGAUUAUCUAAGUCCAUGUACAAUGUGUUCAUCCUUACUCAACUUUAAAGCACAAUAUGUUUUUCAAUUAGUGUGCAUUAUACGAAGACGCAUGUCUCAGCUGUAUUUCCCUCUAACUUUAAAGUUUGUUAAAUAAGUUUGAGCACCAGGAUUAGCUCAUUCAUACACAUAUGUUUGCCAAUUUUAGUGAGAGCUCUAUGCCCAACAAAUUAUCUAACUUCAUAUAUAUCCUUGGUUCAACUUUUAAAAAUAAUGGUUUUUUUUAAUUCGCGAUACUAGGAGGUAUGUCUCAGUUUUCUUUCCCUCAAAUUCUGAUGUUUGAGCACCAAGAUUGGCUCGUUCGUACACAGUUGUUUAGGCUACUAAAGCUAGAUUGCUAUGUUGUGCGCGUGUGUGUGGCUGAAAAGAAAACACUAGUGAACAUUUAUACAUCCCAAAUAUAAUCUAUGGAUAUGGAAUUCAAGAUUUGAAUUUCGAUUUUUCAAUCAGUGCUGG
Triticum urartu is the source of this 987-nucleotide non-coding RNA. Lineage: Eukaryota; Viridiplantae; Streptophyta; Magnoliopsida; Poales; Poaceae. The record is from RefSeq and is a predicted model, not a curated record.